RNAcentral lists this ribosomal RNA (368 nucleotides) under uncultured bacterium. RNAcentral's name for it is "bacterial SSU rRNA". It matches the Rfam family "Bacterial small subunit ribosomal RNA", at positions 524 to 896 of the family's 1533-position model. The record is from RNAcentral.
UACGGAGGGUGCAAGCGUUAUCCGGAUUUAUUGGGUUUAAAGGGUCCGUAGGCGGAUCGUUAAGUCAGUGGUGAAAGCCCACAGCUCAACUGUGGAACUGCCAUUGAUACUGGCGAUCUUGAGUGCGUGUGAAGUUAGCGGAAUGUGUGGUGUAGCGGUGAAAUGCUUAGAUAUCACACAGAACACCAAUUGCGAAGGCAGCUGGCUAACACGCAACUGACGCUGAGGGACGAAAGUGUGGGGAUCAAACAGGAUUAGAUACCCUGGUAGUCCACACCGUAAACGAUGAUUACUAGAUUUUGGCCGCAAGGUCAGAGUCCAAGCGAAAGUGUUUAGUAAUCCACCUGGGGAGUACGUCCGCAAGGAUG